UUUAAUUGAAGAGUUUGAUCAUGGCUCAGAUUGAACGCUGGCGGCAGGCCUAACACAUGCAAGUCGAGCGGCAGCACAGAGAAACUUGUUUCUCGGGUGGCGAGCGGCGGACGGGUGAGUAAUGCCUGGGAAAUUGCCCUGAUGUGGGGGAUAACCAUUGGAAACGAUGGCUAAUACCGCAUGAUAGCUUCGGCUCAAAGAGGGGGACCUUCGGGCCUCUCGCGUCAGGAUAUGCCCAGGUGGGAUUAGCUAGUUGGUGAGGUAAGGGCUCACCAAGGCGACGAUCCCUAGCUGGUCUGAGAGGAUGAUCAGCCACACUGGAACUGAGACACGGUCCAGACUCCUACGGGAGGCAGCAGUGGGAAUAUUGCACAAUGGGCGCAAGCCUGAUGCAGCCAUGCCGCGUGUGUGUGAAGAAGGCCUUCGGGUUGUAAAGCACUUUCAGUCGUGAGGAAGGUGGUAGUGUUAAUAGCACUAUCAUUGACGUUAGCGACAGAAGAAGCACCGGCUA
RNAcentral lists this ribosomal RNA (511 nucleotides) under Vibrio sp. 03_296. RNAcentral describes it as "bacterial SSU rRNA". It matches the Rfam family "Bacterial small subunit ribosomal RNA", at positions 1 to 499 of the family's 1533-position model. The record is from RNAcentral. Lineage: Bacteria; Pseudomonadati; Pseudomonadota; Gammaproteobacteria; Vibrionales; Vibrionaceae.